UCGGCACCGCACGGCCCGUCUCCCUCUCUCUCGCUCUCCCACCGCGCCUCUCCCAGAUUCCGCUCCCGCACGCGCGACGCCGGAAACCGCUCCGCCAUCAGCGCUCCCCUCCCUAUCAGCCGCGGCGCCGUCCUCUGCCUCACCGAUCUGCCAUCGCCGCCGGCUCGCCCUCCACCGAUCCCCAUCGCUUGUCCUCCGCCCGGAUUCACGUCGCCGCCGACGCCUUCCACGCUGUUCUGCUCCACCGAUCCCUGCCGCACAAAGUCCUCUCGUGGCCAGGUCGCCGCCGACGCCUUCCGUGGUGAUCCGAUCUGCCACCGAUCCCCGCCGCCGGCUCGCCCUCCACUGAUCCCAACGGUGACUGGGUGUCGGUGGAGGACGAGCCGCCACCGAGUCCUAUGCCGCCGGAUCAACGUCGACCACCUGGCCAGUCUCCACCACAUCCCGAAUCCCGGCCUCCCACCACCCCGUCCCGCUGCGGCCUCCGUCAUCGACAGUCUGUCGCCGCCGCAUCUCCUUUCUCCCCUUCAUUACCGAGGGGCAUCUCUAUCUACAAAAGGAAAAAAAUUGAGGUAGGACAGAAGGAGCUGGCCACAUGCCUGAAGAGAACUGAUCAUCUCAGUGCAUGAUAACUGUUGCUCCUCGAUGACCAAGUCCCUGUGGAAGGCUUUCAAUUUUGGCAAGUUCUGAAUUUGAGCGAGACUGAAGGGGAACUCAAUUGUCUAAAAAAUGAAAUGGAAAUUGCUGUCCAUGGUGACUCUAUUGACCAUUGCUCAGAUCAAAGAAUCAUCUACUCGGUUGGUUAAGAAUCAUGAUAUGCUGUAUAUGCCCUCCAACCUUGGUGACCUGAAGGAAGUGGUUGUUCAUAUUCAGAGGGAUAUAAAAACUGUUGGUGAUUCCAUGUCUAUCAAGAUGCAAUAUUUGCAGAGCACUGCAAAUGACAUUGCAAAUGUUGUUGGCAAAUCAUUGGAGAAUCAUAUGCAGCUUUUGGAUGGGCAGAGUAAGGCCAUGGUCAGUCUGAUUAAUCUGUAGAGCUUGCAGCAUGAAUUGGAACACAAAAAUGGGGAUUAUCUGCAGUACGGCACUUGCAGUAGCAGCCACUGACAUUGAAUGUGGGCAGUACUUCCUUGUUGAUUCCUGACUCCCAUAUAAACAAAGAGGACUUGGAGCUGCUACAUUACGUCGACAGUGACCGUGCUUUCAGAUUCAGCAUAUGUGGCUUAUAUCGAUUGACCGAUCGAGGCGUGGCCCGUGCUGACCAACGGCGUUGCCGCGGCUGCCAUCUUCACUCAGGUUUUCCUCUCUUUGUCAAAACUACAAGGGAAGGCCAUGUAUGCCAUGGGACUGAUUGCACUGCAGAACAAGUUCCUUCGUGCCUGGUAGUGCGACUUUAUUUCUCUAUUGCUAUAUGUGGUGAAUGAAAAUUGUGGUGGAAUAUUCUGUUUUUGAUCAAUGGAAGCUAUAUGUAGAGGUAAAAUUUGUAAUAAUUGCAGCCUAUUUUGUUGUUUAUUAUGUACUCUGAAAGAGUGAAUAAUGUACUUUGGGAGAUGAAUUAAGAAAUGAAUUUCCAAAUUUGAUUGCAUGA
Long non-coding RNA from Oryza sativa Japonica Group (Japanese rice), 1585 nucleotides. RefSeq lists it as uncharacterized. The record is from RefSeq and is a predicted model, not a curated record. Lineage: Eukaryota; Viridiplantae; Streptophyta; Magnoliopsida; Poales; Poaceae.